AUUGAACGCUGGCGGCAGGCCUAACACAUGCAAGUCGAGCGGAGCGGCGGACGGGGGCGUAAUGCCUAGGAAUCUGCCUGGUCGUGGGGGAUAACGUCCGGUAACGGGCGCUAAUACCGCAUACUAUCAGAUGAGCCUAGGUCGGAUUAGCUAGUGGGUGGGGUAAAGGCGUACCAGGGCGACGAUCAGUACCUGGGCUGAGAGGAUGAGCAGUCACACUGGAACUGAGACACGGGCAAGACGCCGACGGGAGGCAGCAGUGGGGAAUAUUGGACAAUUGGCGAAAGCCUGAUCCAGCCAUGCCGCGUGUGGGAAGAAGGUCUGCGGGUUGUAAAGCACUUUAAGUGGGGAGGCGUUACCCGCAGAAGAAGCACCGGCUAACUCCGUGCCAGCAGCCGCGGUAAUAC
Molecule: ribosomal RNA, 407 nt
Filed under: uncultured bacterium
Lineage: Bacteria
Description: partial 16S ribosomal RNA
Rfam family: Bacterial small subunit ribosomal RNA
Source: RNAcentral